Long non-coding RNA from Hipposideros armiger (great roundleaf bat), 1709 nucleotides. RefSeq lists it as uncharacterized. The record is from RefSeq and is a predicted model, not a curated record. The transcript is spliced from 2 exons. Lineage: Eukaryota; Metazoa; Chordata; Mammalia; Chiroptera; Hipposideridae.
AGUUGUCUUCAAUCUAGUUGUGGAGGGCACAGCUCCUUGGCCCAUGUGGGGAUCGAACCAGCAACGUUGGUGCCAAGAGCCCGCGCUCCAACCACCUUGAGCCAACCGGCCACCCCUUUAUGGAACUCUUGUCAGUGCAUAUGUAAUGAAUUUGAUUAUUUUUUUCCAUUGAUGUCUCUGGUGUCAGUUUGAUGAUUAGUCCAGCCAGAAUAACUUAGAAGAGUAGAAGAAAAAUUACUUUUCCUCCCCUGCGUCUGGCUGGGGAUACUUGCCAGUACCUAGAGCUGUAAAAUGCUAGGCAUGUAAAUUGGCCCUCGAGUACUGUUAGCUGGACACACUGACCGGGAACCGGGAAGAGCGCCUGCACCACAGAUCGUGGGGUGGAAGCUCAGUGCCUGUGUGAGAUGACGCUGUGUGGAGUGUGCGCUGGGGCUCAUGGCCCAAACCUGUGAGCGUCUCCCAGCGACGACCUCGGGGACUUUGGAAUAGAGAAUUCCCAUCGGGGGCACUUGUGAGCUUGCUAGCAGACAUUACUUGAAACUACCCCUAUGAUGGAAAGGCAGAAAAUAAUCUUGAAACCUGAAAUGCCCAGUGUCUUGGGCGGUAUCAGAGAAACACUCAGUGGGGAAGGCAGUGCCCAGAAAGGUUCCAUAACGAAAUAGAAGUGGUUUAUACAGGCUCGUGCUGCCUGGGGGGGGCCAUGGGAGAGACCCUCACAAGCAGCGAGCCUCCUUUCCCCUAGGACCUGGCUUCGGAGCUGUGUGAAGAGUUGUCUGGCUGUACUGUCAUUAGGACGGUGACCUGUGACAGCUCUCAACUGAGCGACAGAGAGCUGCUUGGUUUGUGGACGGCAGCUCCACAGUGAACGGACCACAUCCUGGUCGGAAGGCCACUAUUCUGAUGGAAGGAGGGGUCACAAGACAAGGGCUGUGACUCCCAGGGCCAGAAGGAAGGCUGAUUCCCAAGGAAGAACUGUAACUAUGCUUUCAAAUGUGACGUCACCCCCAAGGGUGGAAGUGUUUGGGCACAAACGGAGAAGGAGGAAUAGCAGCUGAGGGGAAAGGAACAAAUAAACAGGCUGUGUAAUGAGGGAACCCGAGACAGCAGUCACACCUCCAGCAAGGCUCAGGGCCAGAGGCUGCCUCUUGUGCAUGGCUCCAUGAUACAGACCGAUGCCUGACGGGGACGAGAUGGGCUGGAGGUGCCAGGAUGGUGAGGGUCGAUUUUUGGGCGCUUGAGUCUACGCAUUCGAUCUCCACAUGGUCCUGACCACUGUAGCUUUGCAGGAAGCUCAAACCAGGAAGUGUGAGCCCGACAACUUUGUCCGUCUUUUUCAAGGCUUGUUUUGGCUGUCCCGGGACCCUUGUAAUCAUAGGGUACUUAGGAAGUGCCUGGUAAAGCCAGUGGGGAUUUUCACAGGUAUUGUGUGGAGCUGUAGGUCAAUUUGGGGAGCACUGGUAUCGUGACAAGACUGAGUCUUCCAAUCUGUGAACCCCGGGAACCUUUCCAUGUCCUGAGACCUUCCCUCAUGCCUUUGACAAUGUCUUGUAGCUUCCAGUCAGUGUCCAUGUCUUACAAUAAAUUGGCUACAUUUAUUCCCAGGUACUUCAUUCUGUUUGCUGCUAUUAGAAAUGGCAUUGUCUUCUUCAUUCCAUGUUAGGAUUGUUCAUUGCUAGUGUAUAGAAAUAAAAUUGAUUUUCUUACAUUGA